This 815-nucleotide ribosomal RNA is filed under the name uncultured bacterium. RNAcentral's name for it is "bacterial SSU rRNA". It matches the Rfam family "Bacterial small subunit ribosomal RNA", at positions 8 to 796 of the family's 1533-position model. The record is from RNAcentral.
AGAGUUUGAUCCUGGCUCAGAACGAACGCUGGCGGCGUGGAUAAGACAUGCAAGUCGGACGCUAAUCGUCGGGUAGCAAUAUUCGACGGUUGGAGUGGCGUAAGGGUGCGUAACACGUGGGUAAUCUGCCGCGAAGUCGGGGAUAACUCGCUGAAAGGCGAGCUAAUACCGGAUGCGAUCAUCGGGGGACAUCCUCUGAUGAUUAAAGUUGGGGACCGUAAGGCCUGACGCUUCACGAUGAGCCCGCGGCCUAUCAGCUAGUUGGUGAGGUAACGGCUCACCAAGGCUAAGACGGGUAGCUGGUCUGAGAGGACGACCAGCCACACUGGAACUGAGACACGGUCCAGACACCUACGGGUGGCAGCAGUCGAGAAUUUUUCACAAUGGGCGAAAGCCUGAUGGAGCGACGCCGCGUGGGGGAUGAAUGGCUUCGGCCCGUAAACCCCUGUCAUUUGCGAACAAACCUCGUUAUUUAAAAGAUGACGAGCUGAUUGUAGCGAAAGAGGAAGGGACGGCUAACUCUGUGCCAGCAGCCGCGGUAAUACAGAGGUCCCAAGCGUUGUUCGGAUUCACUGGGCGUAAAGGGUGCGUAGGUGGUCGUUUAAGUCUGAUGUGAAAUCUCUGAGCUCAACUCAGAAAUGGCAUUGGAUACUAUUCGGCUGGAGGGUUGGAGGGGGGACUGGAAUUCUCGGUGUAGCAGUGAAAUGCGUAGAUAUCGAGAGGAACACCAGUGGCGAAGGCGAGUCCCUGGACAACUCCUGACACUAAGGCACGAAAGCUAGGGGAGCAAACAGGAUUAGAUACCCUAGUAGUCC